CUAUAAACCCACCAUCCCAAAUGAGUGAGUUGAGUCCUUACAUCCCUUUGCUCCUCUCAGUACUGAGAACAUUUCCUAAUCACUUCCCUCAGACCCUUUGGUCUCUCCCACUCUCUGUAAGUGUACCAAAGGUUUUCUAGUUGAGGUCUGAAGUUGGAGGAUGGAAGAUGUGGAUUCCCAUCUGUUCCACUGGGUACCAACCUCCGAACCUGUAGCGGUACCGCAGCAGGAAGACAUGGCAAGAAUUUGGAUUAAAGGCCAAGGGAUCCUUGUACUCCAUGGUGAUUCCCCUUGUGAAGUAUCCUCUUCUUCUUAGUUCCCGGAUGGUGCUAUCCUAGCUGAGCUUUUCUCCCCUCUCUUCUUGUCUAUCCUUCUUCACACCAUGGCUUGCAGGUUAAACUGUUCUUGACCUUGUAAGACCUUUUCUUGACCUUGUAAGGCCAAAUUCUCUAUUUAAUCCCCUCGUCUCCAAACUCCACGUGGAGUGAGUCAAUACGAACUAUAUUCCUAUCUUCGUGCCCUCCUCUUCCCCUCUCCUCCCCUCUAUCCCUCCUGAGCUAUUUUGCUUAUAUUUACUCCACCGUAUGGUUGUCAUCUGUAGCAUGUUACUUGUGCAACUGUGUCGACGAUACUGUGUCUUUGUAUUCGGUGGGGUUUCACAUGUGGUUAAGGCAGUGUAUUAUUCUUCUUGUGACCCAUCGAGGAUAUGGAUCCUUACAGUCCUUUGUUUUGUAUGGCAGUCUGCUAUGAUACAUACCCCAUGUCUUUUGGUAAAGCUCUCCUCAUCAUGUUGAA
This is a long non-coding RNA of Musa acuminata subsp. malaccensis (wild Malaysian banana), 795 nucleotides long. RefSeq lists it as uncharacterized. NCBI's taxonomy places the organism in Eukaryota, Viridiplantae, Streptophyta, Magnoliopsida, Zingiberales, Musaceae. The record is from RefSeq and is a predicted model, not a curated record.